ACGGGUGAGUAACGCGUGGGGAUGUGCCUUGAGGUGGGGAAUAACUGUGGGAAACUACAGCUAAUACCGCAUAAGCCCUUCGGGGGAAAGAUUUAUCGCCUUUAGAGCAACCCGCGUCAGAUUAGCUAGUUGGUAGGGUAAUGGCCUACCAAGGCGACGAUCUGUAGCUGGUCUGAGAGGAUGACCAGCCACACUGGGACUGAGACACGGCCCAGACUCCUACGGGAGGCAGCAGUGGGGAAUAUUGGACAAUGGGCGCAAGCCUGAUCCAGCCAUGCCGCGUGAGUGAUGACGGCCUUAGGGUUGUAAAGCUCUUUUAACAGGGACGAUAAUGACGGUACCUGUAGAAUAAGCCCCGGCAAACUUCGUGCCAGCAGCCGCGGUAAUACGAAGGGGGCUAGCGUUGUUCGGAAUUACUGGGCGUAAAGCGCACGUAGGCGGAUUUUUAAGUCAGGGGUGAAAUCCCGAGGCUCAACCUCGGAACUGCCUUUGAUACUGGAGAUCUUGAGUUCGGAAGAGGUUGGUGGAACAGCUAGUGUAGAGGUGAAAUUCGUAGA
This 557-nucleotide ribosomal RNA is filed under the name Labrys sp. BvIRR017. RNAcentral describes it as "bacterial SSU rRNA". It matches the Rfam family "Bacterial small subunit ribosomal RNA", at positions 102 to 694 of the family's 1533-position model. RNAcentral also lists the same sequence under 7 other names. The record is from RNAcentral. Lineage: Bacteria; Pseudomonadati; Pseudomonadota; Alphaproteobacteria; Hyphomicrobiales; Xanthobacteraceae.